This is a non-coding RNA of Nicotiana tabacum (common tobacco), 258 nucleotides long. The record is from RefSeq and is a predicted model, not a curated record. Lineage: Eukaryota; Viridiplantae; Streptophyta; Magnoliopsida; Solanales; Solanaceae.
UUCUGUUCUUCAAGCUUUAUAAAAACCUCUUUACAAUCUUCAAUGGAGCAAUCAAUUAGGAGACAUGUAUUCUGGGAAAGCUCCAACUAUACCAAAAGUUGGAUUGGCAACUUCAAUCAGCUUCAAUGUACCAAGUUUCGUGGUGGGAAUUGGAUGGUCAUUGGCAGCACAAGAUGGUUUACAUGAAGACCAAUAUUUGGCGGAGAGAUCAAGAAAGAAAGGCAAACAAGUUGAAGUUUCUGGGGCCAGUAGUACUAA